AAGGGCACCACAAGAACGCGUGGAGCAUGUGGCUUAAUUUGACUCAACGCGGGAAAUCUUACCGGGUCCGGACACACUGAGGAUUGACAGACAAAUAUAGAAAUUUUAUAUUUCCUAUAUAUAAAGAUGCUAGUUCUUUCAUGAUUAUGUGAUAGGUGGUGCAUGGCCGUUCUUAGUUCGUGGAGUGAUCUCUCUGCUUAAUUGCGUUUCAAUUUUUUUUUAKKAAACGUWUUGACCCAGGUUUACGCGUGCGAGUCUGGUAUGCUUUCAUUGAAAAGCAAGGAACGUGCCCGUAUUCCCUUUUUUUAAWACGCCASGCGUAUAUUUUUUCAUUAAGGGGMCCGCUGUUUCUUUUUUUAAACCAGAGGAGGGUUACGGAAAUAACAGGCUUGUGAUGCCCUUCGAUGUUCCGGGCUGCACACGUCCUACAAUGAUUAUUUCAUUAGGUAUCUACUAUCCUGCAAUUUAUGUGUAUUAAAACCUACCCKGAGAAUGGGSGGGUAAUCAUUUAGAAGUAAUGAUUUCCUUUUUUUUAUACGCAACUAUGUACCGUAUAUUACAUCCCAUAAUAUUUUUUUUAUUAUGCGUGUGUGUUUUAUUACCGUGUACGCGUAAUUGUUAAUUCAUGGUGGGGAUAGACCAUUGUUAAUUGUUGGUCUCGGUCUUAACUAGGAAUGCCUUGUACGGGUCAUUGGUUCAACAAACCACCCGGAACACGUCCCUGCCCUUUGUACACACCGCCCGUCGCUCUUACCGAUGAACUUCGCUAUGAAUCUGUUGGACUGUAUCCUUUAAUGAAUACGGAAAGAUAUAUGAAUAGUGUGGUUUAAAGGAAAGAGAAGUCGAACAAGGCA
This 854-nucleotide ribosomal RNA is filed under the name Elphidium williamsoni. Its description in RNAcentral is "partial 18S ribosomal RNA". It matches the Rfam family "Eukaryotic small subunit ribosomal RNA", at positions 1171 to 1821 of the family's 1831-position model. Lineage: Eukaryota; Foraminifera; Rotaliida; Elphidiidae. The record is from RNAcentral.